UACGAAGGGGGCUAGCGUUGCUCGGAAUCACUGGGCGUAAAGGGCGCGUAGGCGGCGUUUUUAAGUCGGGGGUGAAAGCCCAGAGCUCAACUCUGGAACUGCCUUCGAAACUAGAGGACUUGGGUACGGGAGAGGUGAGUGGAAUUCCGAGUGUAGAGGUGAAAUUCGUAGAUAUUCGGAAGAACACCAGUGGCGAAGGCGGCUCACUGGCCCGUUACCGACGCUCAGGCGCGACAGCGUGGGGAGCAAACAGGG
RNAcentral lists this ribosomal RNA (255 nucleotides) under uncultured bacterium. RNAcentral's name for it is "partial 16S ribosomal RNA". It matches the Rfam family "Bacterial small subunit ribosomal RNA", at positions 524 to 777 of the family's 1533-position model. The record is from RNAcentral.